This is a long non-coding RNA of Acanthochromis polyacanthus (spiny chromis), 485 nucleotides long. RefSeq lists it as uncharacterized. The record is from RefSeq and is a predicted model, not a curated record. The transcript is spliced from 3 exons. Lineage: Eukaryota; Metazoa; Chordata; Actinopteri; Pomacentridae.
UGCGGCUGAUGGGUACAAAAAAAUAAUUAUUAUUAAUGUUUGAUUAUGUACUUCCUUUUCAGAACAAUGGAUCUCUGGAGGUGACGAUGUUCGAUUAAAAGCAAAGCAACAUCCGGCUCCUCUGUCACUGCUGAUAGUACUGAACCUGUCUGUUUUCCAUGACAACCGAGUUGGAGAAGAAAAAAUCAGAUCCAAGUGAACUAGUCUGAAAUCUUCAGAGUCCUGCUCUGUUGGAGGAGGAGAUCUGUGGCACUAAUCUUCCUGUACCAUUGAAAGGAGGAUGUUCGCUUGGCAUCAGAACUAGAAACCUAAGAACCAUCUUGGCUCUCUCCACGAGUCACAGAAAUCUGCUUACAGCACCUGUUAAGCUCAGUAAUUAACACUCUAUCUCAUUUGUUUAAUCCACACAGAAUGUUGCACUUAUUUCCUCGAGGUUCAAAUUGCUCCGGCUGUAAUUUCGUCCUUUUGUGUCACACUCACGUGUC